This 73-nucleotide transfer RNA is filed under the name Loxodonta africana (African savanna elephant). It matches the Rfam family "tRNA". From Rfam's summary of the family: Transfer RNA (tRNA) molecules are approximately 80 nucleotides in length. Their secondary structure includes four short double-helical elements and three loops (D, anti-codon, and T loops). Lineage: Eukaryota; Metazoa; Chordata; Mammalia; Proboscidea; Elephantidae. The record is from Rfam by way of RNAcentral.
CCCUGGGUGGCUCAAAGAGUUAAGUACUCAGCUUCUAACUGAAUGGUUGGUGGUUUGAAUCCACCCAGAGGUG